GCUCCCUUCUGUGGGCUCAAUUCCCUGUUGUCACCUCUGUGAGCUCUCCAGCACCUCCGGAAUGGAGGCUCCUUGGGCCUGGCUUGCUUGACAUGGAUCUCCAGGCACACCUUGCCAGAGGUGCCUCCCAGGCUCGGUGCCUCCGUGGUGAUUCCCAGCUGCUUCCCGAGGCUCUCCCCAUCAGCCCGGUGCCAGCAGAGGGCCUCCCUUACCAGCACAGCACCGUCUGGAAAUUAUAAAACACAUUAUCUAUUUGGCAAAACUUUGUGCAAGGAUCAGGAAAAGGGCUGGAAUCCGUUCUCCUCCAGGAGACCGGAGACAGCGUGUCCCCCCCGGCUUCUGUUUUCAAUGCCAGCACUCAGCCGCGUUAAAGCCGUGGGAGCGUUCGUCAUUAAAAUGGCAAUUGUGGAGCCAGGCAAUAAAUUUAACAUCAUAAAAGGCGCUGGGAGGGUCUCGCUCAUCUGUUGCUCUUCAAAGAAAAGUGUUAGUUGCUUCCGAAAGAAAAAAAAAAUGGGAAGAAGCAGGUCGGAGUAUUUUCCAGGCUGGGUUUCCAUCGAGGGGGUGCGGACACGCUCAGGCAAUACCGCCAUGUGUUUACAGCUCAGCUCCCGGCGUUAUUUAGGGAUUGUAAAACCACAGCAGCUCGCUCGCUCGCUCCCCCCAGCUCGUCGCAGCCAAUUUUUUUCCUCCAUGCGGCUCUCGUUGCAGCGGCAAAGGUCAACCCCGCUCCUUUGAAAGCAGCACCCCCCUCCCUUAUCAGAUUUAGGAAUCCUUGGGGGAGGUUGAAGCCGAAAUGCAGGCAAAGCCAGCUGGCCGCGGUCCGGCCGGGGGGGCGGUGGGGAUGGAGGGUGGGGAGGAAGGAUGGAGGUGGGAGGAGGAGGAGGGCGGUGGGAUGCGCCCCCGCGCCCGGGCGGGGCAGCACCGACAGCAGCGGGCGGUGAAUAAUGGGGGCACAGAUAAUACAGCUGAUUAGCGGCCGCGCAGGGCUGGGGAGGGGGAAUUGGAUGGGACCAAAAAAAUCGCUGCCAGGGUGAAGUCAGCGUGGCUCGGGGGGGGGGUGUGGGGUCACAGUGAUGGGAUAGUCCCCAUGGCAGAGUCAGCGUGGCUCGGGGUGGGGGUGUGGGGUCACAGUGAUGGGAUAGUCCCCAUGGCAGAGAGAGGGGGGUCACAGUGAUGGGAUAGUCCCCAUGACAAAUGUCUGGAGUGCUGGCAGGGCCUGGAAAUGGUCACCUGGGAUAAUCUUCUCUGGGGGGCACUCCCAGCCUUUCUCCCCACUCCAAACUGGGCAGCCAUGGGGCACCUCAGUGAGGAUAAGCGUGGGAAGAGCCCUUUGGGGUCAUGGCCAUUGAUGGGGUGACCAAGUGAUGGCAGAAAGUGGCAUUGGGGCAUCCUGGUGAGAGGGAAGGAGGCAGGAGGGAGCAGGGGAAGAGAGAUGAGGACAGAACCCAGGUGUGGGGCAGAGCUCAGAGGUGGGGCAGGAGGCCCUGUCAGUGCUGUGGGCACCCCCAGCCCUGCUGCUCUCCUGGAGAUGUCCCCUGCUGGUCUUGUCCUGGCCCAGGCACAACUCACGCCUUCAAACUUUGCCAGGGACGGAUUUUAAUUAAAACCAGAAGACGCCGCGCCGCGCCCCGGCCCUUCAGGGAUGACCACUGCUCACGUCCUCCGCCUUUGGUCUUCCUGCCUGCACAGCUUGACACGGCGAGAUGAAAGUCCCUCCCUGCCAAAAAAGCACCAGGACAAAAGGGCAGUCGUAAAACCAUGCCGCCAAGAAGUCCCCAGCCGAGGGUCCAGCGAGGUCCUGCUGGCCAGGAGCCGUGGCCAGAGGCGGGGAGCCGUGGCCAGAGGCGAGCAGCAGCCUGGGGAGUGGGGCUGCUGCCUUCAGCCCUUCUAAAAAUAACAGCUCCGAGUGCAGCGAGCGCCUAACUGGAACCAGCUUUCCAAACUCCCAGCUGGAAGCAGCUUUAGGAGCCUGCACCAGCCUUUCUGGGAAAGAGCAAUUAAAAAUAGCGAGAGACUGAAAGCGCUGUCCCUGCUGCCCAUCCGGCCGCUGCGUGGGGAGGACACGGAGAGCCAGGUUUGGAGGCAGGUGGUUCCCUUUGCUCAGCUUGGAAAGGCCAGCAGUGCCUAGAGGUGGAGCUGGAAGGAUGUCAUGGGGGGAUUCAGCUUCCCUGAUGCCAGGAGAAAGGGGGCAGUGGACUCAGAGCCCCCCAAGGAGAGCAGCUGGGAUUACUCCAGCAUUGUCACCUGCUGGUUGUGGCUGCUGGAGCUGCAUGGAGCUGGGACCUAGAAGGGUGAAGGCCAGGCUGUCCCAGGGAGGUGUAGAUAGAACAACAGUGGGAGUGGGAGUGGGAGGGGGAUUCUGGGGACAGGUGAGGGGCUCUGAGUAUCCCAGAUGGGCUCCAGCUCAUCCACUUGCCUGGGAUCCAGGCCAUCCAUCCCCACAGGCUCCACUCCACCCGCUUACAUGGGAUCCAACAUAUCCACCCUCAUGAUCUCCAGCUCGUGGAUACAUGCUCUCCAUCCCACUCCCUCUGGGGCUCAGCCCCAUCAGUCCUGUGGGUGCCCAUGGCUGGUGGCAUGUGCCUGAUGUCCCAAGCCAGGCUCAUCAGCUCUGUGCCCAGCCCUCCAUUCCAUGGCAUAGAGCCUGCACCCCCACGUGCUGCUGCUCCUGCUGCUCCCCAGCUCCCCCAGCUCCCUGUGCUCCCCCUGCUCCCAGUGCUCCCCCUGCUCCCUGUGCUCCCCCUGCUCCCCAGCUCCCCCUGCUCCCUGUGCUCCCACUGCUCCCCAGCUGGGGGGGGGGGGGGGGGGGGGGGGGGGGGGGGGGGGGGGGGGGGGGGGGGGGGGGG
Molecule: long non-coding RNA, 2846 nt
Organism: Ficedula albicollis (Collared flycatcher)
Lineage: Eukaryota; Metazoa; Chordata; Aves; Passeriformes; Muscicapidae
Source: Ensembl